RNAcentral lists this RNase P RNA (164 nucleotides) under Blautia obeum. Its description in RNAcentral is "partial RNase P RNA component class A". It matches the Rfam family "Bacterial RNase P class A", at positions 190 to 367 of the family's 367-position model. From Rfam's summary of the family: Ribonuclease P (RNase P) is a ubiquitous endoribonuclease, found in archaea, bacteria and eukarya as well as chloroplasts and mitochondria. Its best characterised activity is the generation of mature 5'-ends of tRNAs by cleaving the 5'-leader elements of precursor-tRNAs. The record is from RNAcentral. Lineage: Bacteria; Bacillati; Bacillota; Clostridia; Lachnospirales; Lachnospiraceae.
UAACAGAACGGGCACAUGUAAACUCCAUUCGAAGCAAGACCGAAACGAAAGCAAUACGGCUGCCCGUCGUGCUUUCAGGUGGGUCGCUUGAGCCAGCUGGCAACGGCUGGCCUAGACAGAUGAUCACUCAACGACAUAACCCGGCUUAUCGGUCUACUUGCAUA